This 774-nucleotide ribosomal RNA is filed under the name uncultured Neocallimastigales. Its description in RNAcentral is "partial large subunit ribosomal RNA". It matches the Rfam family "Eukaryotic large subunit ribosomal RNA", at positions 22 to 628 of the family's 3401-position model. The record is from RNAcentral. Lineage: Eukaryota; Fungi; Neocallimastigomycota; Neocallimastigomycetes; Neocallimastigales.
GUACACGCUGUGACUAGCAUAUCAAUAAGCGGAGGAAAAGAAACUAACAAGGAUUCCCCUAGUAACGGCGAGUGAAGCGGGAAGAGCUCAAAUUUGAAAUCUUAAAGGGUUUCCCUUUACGAAUUGUAGUUUAAAGAAGUGUUUUCUGUUGAGGUUUUGGUAAAAGUUCUUUGGAAUAGGACAUCAUAGAGGGUGAGAAUCCCGUAUUUGACCUUUACUUUCAACUUUGUGAUACACUUUCAAAGAGUCGGAUUGUUUGGGAAUGCAGUCCAAAAUGGGUGGUAAACUUCAUCUAAAGCUAAAUAUUGGCGAGAGACCGAUAGCGAACAAGUACCGUGAGGGAAAGAUGAAAAGAACUUUGAAAAGAGAGUUAAACAGUACGUGAAAUUGUCAAAAGGGAAGCGUUUGACACCAGUGUUGUUUUUCUGAAAAUCAAUUAAAGAACUGUUUAUGCUAAGUUGUUUAGACUUUAUCAGCUAACUGUUUAGUUUUGAGCUUUUCUUUAAUGCACUUUUCAGUUAACAAGUCGACAUCAAUUUCUUUUGCUGUAAAAAAGCUUGAGGAAGGUGGCUUGAGAUUCGUCUUAAGUGUUUAUAGCCUCUUGUCUAUGCAGUCGGAGAGAUUGAGGUCUGCAGCGUAGAUCCUUCGGGGCUAAAUGCAUUUGUGCUAAGUUAUAGCAUUUUAUAGACAACUUGUUGACUAUGAUUUGUCUUGUAGCUUACUCGCUUAUGUUAUUUUACCUACGCUUAGGAUGUUGAGUCGUAGAGCACGCAG